Molecule: ribosomal RNA, 403 nt
Filed under: uncultured bacterium
Lineage: Bacteria
Description: partial 16S ribosomal RNA
Rfam family: Bacterial small subunit ribosomal RNA
Source: RNAcentral
AUUGAACGCUGGCGGCAGGCCUAACCCAUGCAAGUCGAGCGAGCGGCGGAAGGGUGAGUAAUGUAGGGGGACUGCCCGAGAGAGGGGGAUAACUACUGGAAACGGUAGCUAAUACCGCAUACUAACGGAUAACCCAUAGGGGAUUAGCUAGUAGGUGAGGAAAUGGCUCACCUGGGCGGCGAUCCCUAGCUGGUCUGAGAGGAUGAUCAGCCACACUGGGACUGAGACACGGCGCAGACUCCUACGGAGGCAGCAGUGGGUAAUAUUGCACUAUGGGCGCAAGCCUGAUGCAGCCAUGCCGCGUGUAUGAAGAAGGCCGUAGGGUUGUAAAGUCCUUUCAGUCGGGAGGCGUUACCGACAGAAGAGGCACCGGCUAACUCCGUGCCAGCAGCCGCGGUAAUUC